This is a non-coding RNA of Pelobates cultripes (western spadefoot toad), 569 nucleotides long. NCBI's taxonomy places the organism in Eukaryota, Metazoa, Chordata, Amphibia, Anura, Pelobatidae. The record is from the annotation of a GenBank genome assembly.
GUCCGGGCCUUGUGGUGCCCGGGUGUGCGGCUGCUGAUUUUGCUGCCCAGUAAGUUCUGGCCCCUGUAAUCCUAUUUUGGGGGUCUGUGGGGGCCCCGGUGGUUCUUGCCGUUGUUGGGGUGUGGUAGGUGCCAGGGUAGCCUCCAGCGUUUCUGCCGCUGGUUUGGGUUUGGGCUGGGUAGGCUUUUGGAGCAUAGUCCCAAUAUCCCUGCCCCCAGCCGUACCUUGUGGCCUUUGUGAUCGGCAUCCCAUUGCCGGCAUAUGAGUCAGAGCUGUGGAUGGGUCCGGGGCGCAGGAGGUGUCUGUGUGCUCGGCCGGGUAUCCACUCAACAGGUCCUCGAGGCCCAGGCUCGUUGGGGUAUAGUAGGCCCCGAUUUUGCGUCUCCGUUUCUGCUGCCGCUGCGGUUGGAAAAAAGGCAUCGGGAGAUGUGGCCCGUUGUGCUGAUGCCGAUAGUGCGUGUGGCGAGGUUGGAUGGGUCAGAGAAAGACUGAUUUUAAUGGAUUUUGUCCGCAGGAUUUGGGAGCUGUGGAAAAUGGCUUCCGUUCAUGUCGGGUAGCAAGCCCCGCCC